CCUACGGGUGGCAGCAGUGGGGAAUAUUGCACAAUGGGGGAAACCCUGAUGCAGCGACGCCGCGUGAGUGAUGACGGCCUUCGGUGUGUAAAGCUCUGUCUUCAUGGAAGAAAAUGACGGUACCUGAGUAAUCAGCCACGUCUCACUACGUGCCAGCAGCCGCGGUAAUACGGAGGCGGCGAGCGUUAUCCGGAUUUACUGGGCGUAAAGGGAGCGUAGGCGGCCUGUUAAGUGCGUGGUGAAAGGUUGGGGCUCAACCUUAAGGCUGCAGUUGAAACUGGAAGUCUUGAGUACAGGAGAGGUGAAGGGAAUUCGUGGUGGAGCGGUGAAAUGCUUAGAUAUUACGAAGAACACC
Molecule: ribosomal RNA, 355 nt
Filed under: uncultured bacterium
Lineage: Bacteria
Description: partial 16S ribosomal RNA
Rfam family: Bacterial small subunit ribosomal RNA
Source: RNAcentral